Molecule: ribosomal RNA, 253 nt
Filed under: uncultured bacterium
Lineage: Bacteria
Description: partial 16S ribosomal RNA
Rfam family: Bacterial small subunit ribosomal RNA
Source: RNAcentral
UACGUAGGGGGCAAGCGUUAUCCGGAUUUACUGGGUGUAAAGGGAGCGUAGACGGAGGAGCAAGUCUGAAGUGAAAGCUCGCGGCUCAACUGCGGGACUGCUUUGGAAACUGUUCAUCUAGAGUGUCGGAGAGGUAAGUGGAAUUCCUAGUGUAGCGGUGAAAUGCGUAGAUAUUAGGAGGAACACCAGUGGCGAAGGCGGCUUACUGGACGAUGACUGACGUUGAGGCUCGAAAGCGUGGGGAGCAAACAGG